UUAGAAAUUGGCAGUGUUGAAAUUCAAACCCAGAUUUGAUAAGUUUGUUUUUUUCUACCAAAAGACACUGACCAUCAAACAGUAUUUUCUAAAACCUACUUUAUUCCCUUUUGUCAAUAGGAUUUCCCUGCUUACAUCUUCAAAAUCCUUAGAAAUUCCAGAUAUGCUAUGAUAAUGAUAAUUUUAUAAUGUCUCCCUUAAUUGUCAGACACAAGUGUUUCAAAAUCUUAGAAAUGUGAGGGAGAGAAUAAAGGGAGGAAGUAGAGAGUAAACUCUAAGAAUAUCUGCUUGGGACAAGUGAAUUCAGAUGUGGUUUGCAAAUUAUUAAUAUUAGUGGGAUUUAAUCUAGUUUAGUCAGGAUUAGGUUCCACAUUAAGUCAGAGCAUAGGAAAUGGCAGGGGUGGAGGGGUGGAGGUGGGGCUUAGUUCAAAGCAGUUAGCAAGGCUUUGAUAGGCUCUGAUCCAGUGACAGAGGUAAUAGCUCAAGGUAAGGCUCACUGGAAAAGAUAGGAUGUCAGGCCCCUGGUGAACUGAGUAGGCAACCAUCCAUCAACAGGACAAAAGCAGAAGGAAGGAGAAAUGCAAUGGAGCUACAGAAGUGACCACCCUCCUUCUCAGGACUCUGAAAUCUGGAUCCAGGCUCCAUCACACAGUUGGAAAGACUUGGGAAUUCAGAUGGCAUUUGAGAAGUAUAUCAGAAAAUCACAUUUGAAAAAAAAGAAAAUCACAUUUGAAAUUAUAUUCUUCAUUGGAAGGCAUUUAUUGUUAAUUACUGUUACGUUUACCAUACUGAUCUUCCAACAUGAUUCUAACUACAUUUGUCUGAAUAGAUAUCGCUUCCAAAAUUCUGGCUCUCAGUUCCUCGAUCCCCUUUCUCCUCCAAUAACUUCAUCCUUCAUACUGCCUCAACCACUCACUCUCAUGGUCAUAGCCUAGAAAUUGUCACUACCAAUGUUUAUAGACCUACCAAAAUCUCAAUUUCUAACUAUUCUUCUCCAUCCUCAAAACUCCAACAUUUUGCUGCCUAUCCUCACACUAAUUGGUGCCCUUGCUUCCUUUUGCUCUGAAAAAAUAGAAGUAUUCCUUUAUUGUCUUUUCAACACAGCAGCUAGAUUGAUCUUGUUAGAGUGUAAGUCGGAUAAUGCCAUUCCUUUGAUGAGAAACUACUUUCAUGUCUUAUCAUGGUCAGUACAAAAGCCAUACCCUAUAAAGCCUAAGAGUAAAGUGUUUAAAAAGUACUAUUAAUAAGUGGACUAGGACAACAGGCAUGAAUCAGGAAUCUUCCAAGCAAACUGAGAAGUAUAUUUCACCCACCUGGGUCUUAAACAUUCUCCAAGAUAUCUUCUCCAUUUGUUCUCUCACCUCCUUCAAAUCUAGUCCUUCUAUUGGGCCACUAUCUAAAACUACCAUAUACCUAAUCUCUAUCUUCUUUUUCCUGUUUUUUUCUUCUCUUUAGCCAUUAUUGCCAUCUACUAAACAUUUUACUUACUUAUUUUGAUACUGCUGUGUUCCAACACAAGUAUGUAAGUUUCCUUUGGGCAGAGAUGUGAGAGAGGGGCUUUUUUUAAAAAAUUCUAGAACUGGGAUGGCUGGGUGGCUCAGCGGUUUAGUGCCUGCCUUCAGCCCAGGGCAUGAUCCUAGAGACUUGGGAUCAAGUCCCACAUCAGACUCCCUGCCUGGAGCCUGCUUCUCCCUCUGCCUAUGACUCUGCCUCUCUCUCUCUCUCUGUGUCUCUCAUGAAUAAAUGAAUAAAAUCUUUAAAAAAUAAUAAAAUUCCAGAACUGGAAUAAUAUAGAAGACUAGAAGGCCUUCAGUCAACAUUUACCUUUGAGUCUGACUGAAAACAAUGAAAGUUCUUUCUCAGCUCAGGCAGUCUCACUCA
Molecule: long non-coding RNA, 1881 nt
Filed under: Canis lupus familiaris (dog)
Lineage: Eukaryota; Metazoa; Chordata; Mammalia; Carnivora; Canidae
Description: lncRNA (ENSCAFG00000050629.1, ENSCAFG00845027304.1)
Source: RNAcentral